GGGGCUUCUGGUGCCAGGAGCGACUCAAUAAGGACAGUGAUGCCCAGUGUCAAAAGCUGAGAGGGAACAGAUUGGACUCUGGCACUUUCCCCUGAGGCAGGCAAACAUCCAACUCCAGUUAUGGGGACUGGAGACCAUGGGAGCAGGGCCCGAAGAGAAUUGGCCUCCCCCUGCGUGGGAGAUGGAAAACACGCCCGCGACGUUUUGCUGCUCCUUCCAUCCGGAGCCAGUCUGUUCCUCACCCCUCAAAGCUGGGCUGGCCCCGUGACUGCGCUGACCUACGGACUGUGAUGGAAGGUGGCAUGAUACAAGUGGCAGAGCCCAGGCCUUCAUCCUCUCAGAACCCUGAGCCACCGUGCCGGGAAGGAGCCAGGGAUGCAGGGCCACGUGAGAGAGAGGCUUGGCGCCCAGCCAUUGCCGCCACCCCAGCUGAGCCCAGCAUCCAGUGAACGCAGUCACCUGAGCGAACCCAGACAAGACCAGUGGAAGGACUGCCCGGCCAACCCGCGGAACUGGG
Molecule: long non-coding RNA, 517 nt
Filed under: Equus caballus (horse)
Lineage: Eukaryota; Metazoa; Chordata; Mammalia; Perissodactyla; Equidae
Description: lncRNA (ENSECAG00000057247.1)
Source: RNAcentral